This 433-nucleotide ribosomal RNA is filed under the name uncultured bacterium. Its description in RNAcentral is "partial 16S ribosomal RNA". It matches the Rfam family "Bacterial small subunit ribosomal RNA", at positions 29 to 507 of the family's 1533-position model. The record is from RNAcentral.
AACGAACGCUGGCGGCAUGCCUAACACAUGCAAGUCGAACGAGACCUUCGGGUCUAGUGGCGCACGGGUGCGUAACGCGUGGGAACCUGCCCUUAGGUUCGGACUAAAUCCCCGAAAGGGGUGCUAAUACCGGAUAAUGUCUUCGGACCAAAGAUUUAUCGCCUUUGGUUGGGCCCGCGUUGGAUUAGCUAGUUGGUAGAGUAAAAGCCUACCAAGGCGACGAUCCAUAGCUGGUCUGAGAGGAUGAUCAGCCACACUGGGACUGAGACACGGCCCAGACUCCGACGGGAGGCAGCAGUGGUGAAUAUUGGACAAUGCGCGAAAGCCUGAUCCAGCAAUGCCGCGUGAGUGAUGAAGGCCUUAGGGUUGUAAAGCUCUUUUACCCGGGAUGAUAAUGACAGUACCGGGGGAAGAAGCCCCGGCUAACUCCGUG